AAGACAAAACAGUAUAUAAGUCGAAUUCACGAAACCUACAAUCAUUAUAUUGCUGAACUUCAAGUUUAUCGUCAGAUAUUAUACGAGUACAGCUUAUAUUCGGAAAAUACAUAAUGAUUAAAUAUAUUUGUAGCGCGUUACUUGUAACAAUGUUUGUGGAAAAUAGUUUACAAGAUGGAUGGGGAAAGAUAAAUAAAGCGAAUGACAUGAGCCAGAAUAAAGAUUCCUUAGAUUCACCAUCUGAUAUUCAACGAUUUAGCCAUUGGAGAGCGAACGAGGGAGAUGAAGUUCCAGAACCAGCUGAUGAUGAUAAUGGUGAUUUUAGUUCAUUACAAAAACAAAUGAAACAUUUUAAUAGAUCUCCACGUGAUUAUCCACGAUCCAACUAAUCAAGUCAAAAGAGAAAUGACAUAGAGUGGGAACAGCAUUAAUUUAAUUUCGUUUAUUUCUCGUCGCAAUAUUAUAUAAUAAAGCUUUUGAACAUUUUAA
Molecule: long non-coding RNA, 489 nt
Organism: Leptidea sinapis
Lineage: Eukaryota; Metazoa; Arthropoda; Insecta; Lepidoptera; Pieridae
Exons: 2
Source: RefSeq, a predicted model, not a curated record